AUUGACCGCUGGCGGCAGGCCUAACACAUGCAAGUCGAGCGGAUGAAGGGAGCUUGCUCCUGGAUUCAGCGGCGGACGGGUGAGUAAUGCCUAGGAAUCUGCCUGGUAGCGGGGGAUAACGUCCGGAAACGGGCGCUAAUACCGCAUACGUCCUGAGGGAGAAAGUGGGGGAUCUUCGGACCUCACGCUAUCAGAUGAGCCUAGGUCGGAUUAGCUAGUUGGUGGGGUAAAGGCCUACCAAGGCGACGAUCCGUAACUGGUCUGAGAGGAUGAUCAGUCACACUGGAACUGAGACACGGUCCAGACUCCUACGGGAGGCAGCAGUGGGGAAUAUUGGACAAUGGGCGAAAGCCUGAUCCAGCCAUGCCGCGUGUGUGAAGAAGGUCUUCGGAUUGUAAAGCACUUUAAGUUGGGAGGAAGGGCAGUAAGUUAAUACCUUGCUGUUUUGACGUUACCAACAGAAUAAGCACCGGCUAACUUCGUG
RNAcentral lists this ribosomal RNA (484 nucleotides) under uncultured bacterium. RNAcentral describes it as "partial 16S ribosomal RNA". It matches the Rfam family "Bacterial small subunit ribosomal RNA", at positions 30 to 507 of the family's 1533-position model. The record is from RNAcentral.